This 205-nucleotide long non-coding RNA is filed under the name Mytilus galloprovincialis (Mediterranean mussel). The record is from RNAcentral. Lineage: Eukaryota; Metazoa; Mollusca; Bivalvia; Mytilida; Mytilidae.
CCAAUUUAUGGCAUUAUGUUUUCUUGUCUGUGCAUCCAUUCGUUUGUUUGUCCUUCCGUCCGUUUGUUCGUUGGUCCCGUUUCAGGUUAAAGUUUUUGAUGAAGUUGAAGUCCAAUCAACUUGAAACUUAGUAUACAUGUUCCCUAUGAUAUAAUCUUUCUUAUUUUAAUGCCAAAUUAGAGAUUUCCCCCCAUUUUCACGGUCC